UAAUGCCGGAUGCUCCAGUUGAUCGCAUGGUCUUCUGGGAAAGCUUUCGCGGUAUGGGAUGGGGUCGCGUCCUAUCAGCUUGACGGCGGGGUAACGGCCCACCGUGGCUUCGACGGGUAGCCGGCCUGAGAGGGCGACCGGCCACAUUGGGACUGAGAUACGGCCCAGACUCCUACGGGAGGCAGCAGUGGGGAAUAUUGCACAAUGGGCGCAAGCCUGAUGCAGCGACGCCGCGUGAGGGAUGGAGGCCUUCGGGUUGUAAACCUCUUUUAUCGGGGAGCAAGCGAGAGUGAGUUUACCCGUUGAAUAAGCACCGGCUAACUACGUGCCAGCAGCCGCGGUAAUACGUAGGGUGCAAGCGUUAUCCGGAAUUAUUGGGCGUAAAGGGCUCGUAGGCGGUUCGUCGCGUCCGGUGUGAAAGUCCAUCGCUUAACGGUGGAUCCGCGCCGGGUACGGGCGGGCUUGAGUGCGGUAGGGGAGACUGGAAUUCCCGGUGUAACGGUGGAAUGUGUAGAUAUCGGAAAAAAACA
Molecule: ribosomal RNA, 530 nt
Filed under: Bifidobacterium longum subsp. suillum
Lineage: Bacteria; Bacillati; Actinomycetota; Actinomycetes; Bifidobacteriales; Bifidobacteriaceae
Description: bacterial SSU rRNA
Rfam family: Bacterial small subunit ribosomal RNA
Source: RNAcentral